UCUCAUCUUAUUUAAUAGUCAUCUCAUCAACCUUUGUGAGGAACACUGAGAUCUCUUAGAUCUGAGAGGUUUUCUUCACCAUGGCGGCUCUCCUUCUUGCCGAGAUUUAUUUUACGACCACCCCCUUCUCUUUUCAUCACGGGGAUGUCGGCGAUUAGCUUAACAUGGAAGAAAGCAAAUUGAACUUUCUAGCAGAGCAGGGGCGCUAAUUCUAGCAUCAGGAUCUCCGAUUUCUGUUGCUCGAUGCAGAUCUAACCCUUCAUUUCUUCAAGAGGAUCUUUGAGGUGCUAUUUGUUCACAAAUACAGCGGGGGAUGAUUCUUGAUUCUGCAAUCCUUAUCUCUCUUGGUUACUUUGUGUCCACUGCAAGCAUGAUCUACACCUAACACGCCUGGGAUUUCAGAGCCACCAGUUGAUUUGAAGCAUUCUGGAAUUUUGUUGUUUCUUUGAGGAAUCAGCGGCAACUUGUACCACCAUUACCUCCUAUCCAAACUGAGGGGAGAGGGUGACACAGAAAAUAGGAUUCCCAAGGGUGGUUUAUUUGAGCGGGUGAUAUGCCCACACUAUCUUUACGAAUUAUAGGUUUCUUAGAGAUCUCAUUUAUUUCUCAUCCUCCCAAACUUGAUAUAUGGACAUUCCCCAAGAAUGCAAUCAGGAUGAGCAGGAAAACUGAGAUUUGCACAAUAGUAAACCAAUGGUUUGGAUCUCUUUCUUCUUCACAAAUAUCACAAUAAUAUUCAUCAUCAAAAUCAUUUUAAACUUUAUAACAAAGUAUGAACGGUUGUUCAUAUGGUCUGUAUCUUAUGGUACACGGUAGUGUAGUGCAUUUGAAAUCCAGAGUAGGUUAAAGAUAUCAGAACUACCGCAUGUACCAUAAGAUAUAGACCAUAUGAACAACAGUUCAGGCUUUGUUAUAAAGUUGAAGAUGAUUCUAAUGAUGAAUAUUAUUGUGAUAUUUGUGAAGAAGAAAGACAUCCAAAUCAUUGGUUUUACUAUUGUGCAAAUCUCAGUUUUCCUGCUCAUCCGGAUUGCAUUCUUGGGGAAUGUCCACAUAGCAAGUUAAGGAGGAUUUAUUCUCUGGGCACUACAUAUAGAUUUUUGUUGUAAAUUUUAAAUUGUUUCCUAUGAUUAGUAUUCUUCGUUAAGUGGUAAAAAUUAUGUAACUGUUAGUGAUCUUCAUAUAAUUUCACUCACCUUUGUAUUAUAAAUUUUAUGAACCCAUAAAAGUUGUUGCAUGCAUAAA
Molecule: long non-coding RNA, 1242 nt
Organism: Alnus glutinosa
Lineage: Eukaryota; Viridiplantae; Streptophyta; Magnoliopsida; Fagales; Betulaceae
Exons: 2
Source: RefSeq, a predicted model, not a curated record